UGAGCAAUCUGCCCUCCUCAUCGGAAUAAGCGUUGGAAACGACGCCUAAUGCCGAAUACGACCUCCUUUCACAUGAUCGGAGGUGGAAAGCUCCGGCGGAGAAGGAUGAGCUCGCGGCCUAUCAGCUAGUUGGUGUGGGUAACGCCCACCAAGGCGACGACGGGUAGCCGGCCUGAGAGGGUGACCGGCCACACUGGGACUGAGACACGGCCCAGACCUCCGUACGGGAGGNAGCG
This 236-nucleotide ribosomal RNA is filed under the name uncultured bacterium. Its description in RNAcentral is "partial 16S ribosomal RNA". It matches the Rfam family "Bacterial small subunit ribosomal RNA", at positions 118 to 353 of the family's 1533-position model. The record is from RNAcentral.